GACGAACGCUGGCGGCGUACUUAACACAUGCAAGUCGAACGGAAAGGCCCUGCUUUUGUGGGGUGCUCGAGUGGCGAACGGGUGAGUAACACGUGAGUAACCUGCCCUUGACUUUGGGAUAACUUCAGGAAACUGGGGCUAAUACCGGAUAGGAGCUCCUGCUGCAUGGUGGGGGUUGGAAAGUUUCGGCGGUUGGGGAUGGACUCGCGGCUUAUCAGCUUGUUGGUGGGGUAGUGGCUUACCAAGGCUUUGACGGGUAGCCGGCCUGAGAGGGUGACCGGCCACAUUGGGACUGAGAUACGGCCCAGAAUCCUACGGGAGGCAGCAGUGGGGAAUAUUGCACAAUGGGCCGAAGCCUGAUGCAGCAACGCCGCGUGCGGGAUGACGGCCUUUGGGUUGUAAACCGCUUUCGCCUGUGACGAAGCGUGAGUGACGGUAAUUGGUUAAGAAGCACCGGCUAACUACGUG
This 468-nucleotide ribosomal RNA is filed under the name uncultured bacterium. RNAcentral describes it as "partial 16S ribosomal RNA". It matches the Rfam family "Bacterial small subunit ribosomal RNA", at positions 28 to 507 of the family's 1533-position model. The record is from RNAcentral.